Molecule: ribosomal RNA, 429 nt
Filed under: Bacteroidota bacterium
Lineage: Bacteria; Pseudomonadati; Bacteroidota
Description: Bacteroidetes bacterium partial 16S ribosomal RNA
Rfam family: Bacterial small subunit ribosomal RNA
Source: RNAcentral
UAGGAAAUCUUCGGCAAUGGGGGGAACCCUGACCGAGCAACGCCGCGUGAGUGAAGAAGGUUUUCGGAUCGUAAAGCUCUGUUGUUAAGGAAGAACGAGUGUGAGAAUGGAAAGUUCAUACUGUGACGGUACUUAACCAGAAAGGGACGGCUAACUACGUGCCAGCAGCCGCGGUAAUACGUAGGUCCCGAGCGUUGUCCGGAUUUAUUGGGCGUAAAGCGAGCGCAGGCGGUUAGAUAAGUCUGAAGUUAAAGGCAGUGGCUCAACCAUUGUAGGCUUUGGAAACUGUUUAACUUGAGUGCAGAAGGGGAGAGUGGAAUUCCAUGUGUAGCGGUGAAAUGCGUCGAUAUAUGGAGGAACACCGGUGGCGAAAGCGGCUCUCUGGUCUGUAACUGACGCUGAGGCUCGAAAGCGUGGGGAGCGAACAGG